This 385-nucleotide ribosomal RNA is filed under the name uncultured bacterium. Its description in RNAcentral is "bacterial SSU rRNA". It matches the Rfam family "Bacterial small subunit ribosomal RNA", at positions 28 to 414 of the family's 1533-position model. The record is from RNAcentral.
GACGAACGCUGGCGGCGUGCUUAACACAUGCAAGUCGAGCGGUAAGGCCCUUUCGGGGGUACACGAGCGGCGAACGGGUGAGUAACACGUGGGUGACCUGCCCUCAGCUCUGGGAUAAGCCCGGGAAACUGGGUCUAAUACCGGAUAUGACUCCAUGACGCAUGUUGUGGGGUGGAAAGCCUUGUGCGGCUGAGGAUGGGCCCGCGGCCUAUCAGCUUGUUGGUGGGGUGAUGGCCUACCAAGGCGACGACGGGUAGCCGGCCUGAGAGGGCGACCGGCCACACUGGGGCUGAGAUACGGCCCAGACUCCUACGGGAGGCAGCAGUGGGGAAUCUUGCGCAAUGGGCGAAAGCCUGACGCAGCGACGCCGCGUGAGGGAUGACGG